This 67-nucleotide transfer RNA is filed under the name Marmota monax (woodchuck). RNAcentral describes it as "tRNA.Ala". Lineage: Eukaryota; Metazoa; Chordata; Mammalia; Rodentia; Sciuridae. The record is from RNAcentral.
GGUGGUGGCUCAGUGGUACAGCACUUGCCUAGCAUGUGUGAGGCACUGGGUUCGAUUCUCAGCACCA